UCCAGACUCCUACUUUAUUCAUCAUUUUGGAAUAUUUCACAAUUUUCGCAAUCCUGAUGCAGCCAUGCCGCGUUUAUGAAGAAGUCCUUCGUGUUGUAAAGUACUUUCAUCGGGUAUGAAGUUUUUUAGGUUAAUAACCUCAGCAAUUGACGUUACCCGCAUAAGAAGCACCGUCUAACUCCUUUCCAGCAGCCGCGGUAAUACGGAGGGUGCAAUCGUUAAUCGGAAUUACUGGGCGUAAAGCGCACGAAGGAGGUCUGUAAAGUCGGAUGUGAAAUACCCGGGCUCAAACUGGGAAAUGAAUUCGAAAAUGGAAGGAUGGAGUAUUGUAGAGGGGGGUAGAAUUAAAGGUGUAGAGGUGAAAUGAGUAGAGAUAUGGAGGAAUAACGGUGGAGAAGGAGGAAAAAUGGAAAAAGACUGAAGAUAAGGUGAGAAAGAGUGGGGAGAAAAAAGGAUUAGAUAAAAAGGUAGU
This 472-nucleotide ribosomal RNA is filed under the name uncultured bacterium. RNAcentral's name for it is "bacterial SSU rRNA". It matches the Rfam family "Bacterial small subunit ribosomal RNA", at positions 330 to 794 of the family's 1533-position model. The record is from RNAcentral.